GAUGAACGCUGGCGGCGUGCCUAAUACAUGCAAGUCGAGCGAACAGACGAGGAGCUUGCUCCUCUGACGUUAGCGGCGGACGGGUGAGUAACACGUGGAUAACCUACCUAUAAGACUGGGAUAACUUCGGGAAACCGGAGCUAAUACCGGAUAAUAUAUUGAACCGCAUGGUUCAAUAGUUAAAGACGGUUUUGCUGUCACUUAUAGAUGGAUCCGCGCCGCAUUAGCUAGUUGGUAAGGUAACGGCUUACCAAGGCAACGAUGCGUAGCCGACCUGAGAGGGUGAGCGGCCACACUGGAACUGAGACACGGUCCAGACUCCUACGGGAGGCAGCAGUAGGGAAUAUUCCGCAAUGGGCGAAAGCCUGACGGAGCAAAGCCGCGUGAGUGAUGAAGGUCUUCGGAUCGUAAAACUCUGUUAUUAGGGAAGAACAAAUGUGUAAGUAACUAUGCACGUCUUGACGGUACCUAAUCAGAAAGCCACGGCUAACUACGUG
RNAcentral lists this ribosomal RNA (497 nucleotides) under uncultured bacterium. RNAcentral's name for it is "partial 16S ribosomal RNA". It matches the Rfam family "Bacterial small subunit ribosomal RNA", at positions 28 to 507 of the family's 1533-position model. The record is from RNAcentral.